GACGAACGCUGGCGGCGUGCCUAAUACAUGCAAGUAGAACGCUGAAGAGAGGAGCUUGCUCUUCUUGGAUGAGUUGCGAACGGGUGAGUAACGCGUAGGUAACCUGCCUUGUAGCGGGGGAUAACUAUUGGAAACGAUAGCUAAUACCGCAUAACAAUGGAUGACACAUGUCAUUUAUUUGAAAGGGGCAAUUGCUCCACUACAAGAUGGACCUGCGUUGUAUUAGCUAGUAGGUGAGGUAAUGGCUCACCUAGGCGACGAUACAUAGCCGACCUGAGAGGGGGAGCGGCCACACUGGGACUGGGACACGGCCCAGACUCCUACGGGAGGCAGCAGUAGGGAAUCUUCGGCAAUGGGGGCAACCCUGACCGAGCAACGCCGCGUGAGUGAAGAAGGUUUUCGGAUCGUAAAGCUCUGUUGUAAGUCAAGAACGGGUGUGAGAGUGGAAAGUUCACACUGUGACGGUAGCUUACCAGAAAGGGACGGCUAACUACGUG
Molecule: ribosomal RNA, 497 nt
Filed under: uncultured bacterium
Lineage: Bacteria
Description: partial 16S ribosomal RNA
Rfam family: Bacterial small subunit ribosomal RNA
Source: RNAcentral